UUGACUUUGAUGAGGACCAAAUAAGACAGCCUGAAAGAGUAUCCAGAGCUUGAAGUUGUAAAUCAGGAAGUCUAGGUUCUAGGCUGUUGUCUCUCAAAUUUGAUGUGACCUCAGACAGCCAUCUGAGUCUCUCCCACAAAGAGCAAGAAGGUUUUUGAAAGUGUGACGUGCUAAAUAAACUGGGGAGAGUUUUAUUAUUCAUGGUUGGAAAAUACAUUAUUUUUUUCAAUUGGCAAAAUUAACAACCCAAAUUAAUUGAACAGCAUUUACUUAAUGACAUUAAUUUUUAUGUGAAUUUUCCCACUAGCAGUGUUUUUUUUUUUUUUGUGACUGUCUAUGGGAGGGGUCCAAUAGAUAAGCACUGCCUUCACCUGACACAUGUGCUAAAUUCUCCUUCCCUUGCAUGAUUCUAGCUGCAGACCAUAGUUUUCCGACCUUAGCUGCCACCGCAAUAUGUGGGGACUACUCUCUUCCAUGUUGUGCAAAGCCAUUGUGAAAGUCAUUAACACCUUCCAUGUAUGCUAGAGUUCCAGUUUUCAAUCCCUCUUUGGCUUCGGCCAGAGAAAGAAGACAACAAUUGUAUGUUGAUUUCGCUUUUUGCCUCUAGGGCCACCGUCUCCCACUGGGGUGUGAAAUCAGCAUUCCUGUGAAGAUGUCUUAUUUGUAGCAUUCUUUCCCUAUGGCUGCGUAGAUUUCAGAGAGCAGAAACACAGACAUCUCAUUUUUUAAAUUAACACAUUUUUUUUUUUUAGGGUUAAUUUGCCUAGCUGAAGACUUCUACUGAAGAGAGUCCAGCUAACUACAUUCAAAUAUGAACUUCUCAAGGACCCAGAAAAAGAUCAGUUGGAAAUGGCAAAGGCUCGAGUGAAUAUGGUGGACUAGGAAGAUGGGUUCUGAUGGCCUGGGCUCUUCUUCUGACUUUACAGCCGUCUUGCUGGGUGAUGUUAGCUCCUCCUCCCUGAUAUUUGCCUGGGUUAUUAGUGGUGCCUUUUGGAACAUUCUGGAACAUUCUAUGGUAGGUAGCAUUAGCACAGAUCUGUCUACCUGGAUCACAAGAUCACAGGGGCAUGCAUAUGGGUGAUGUGUUGAAUAGAAGGUGUUGAAGGAUAGUCAUCAUGGACCCAACCUUGAGCUACAUCUGGUCUAAGAAGUAACAGAGUUUAAAACCAAUUCUCAUGAGUAUUUGUCUUUAAGUGGGAUUGGCAACAAGAUGGUCCCUUUCUUCUUUCUUUAUCUGAAACAAAUGGUUUAAUCACUCCCAUUCUUCUCUUUUCAAGGCUAAUUUUUCUUAAAUGUCUUUAGCCUUUGAGUACUUUUUAACAUUCAGUUAUGUCUGUUCUGUCAACUCUUAUUUACAAACACAUGCCUUUUAACAAUUUUAACCUGUGCCUUUCACGUUUUCCAAAAUCUUCUGACAAAGAUACAAGAAAAAAGUUCAACUUAUUUUAUUCUGAUUUUUGAAAUAUAAGAGAGUUUUUCAGUUCCACUAUGGUUCCACAUAAUGCCAAUUGGCUAAAUAAAAAUUAAAAGUAAAUAAAAAACUCACAGUCCUCCCCCCCGCCAAGCCCAAUUCCUUAUGUAUUUGAUGUCACAAAGAUAAACUACCUGGAUGUUUAGCUGAAAUUUUCAUUUUUCAGAGACAUUUUUCUUUUUGAGCAGGCAUAACCUCUCUCUUUCUCUCCUGUACAAGGAAAAAAAAUACCAGCUAUCCUUCUGAUUUUAAUCAGAAAAUAGAAAUAUAAAAUAUAAAUUCAAUAAAAAAAAUCUGAAUUCAGCUCUUUACUAUUUCCUGAACAUGUGUUCAUUAUUGUUAAUAUAUAAAGUGCAUGUUCAGAGUGGUUCAGAAAGCUAAGGGCUUUGGGGCGCCUGGAUGGCUCUGUCGGUUAAUUGUCUGCCUUCGGCUCAGGUCAUGAUCUGGGGUUCCUGGGAUAGAGCCCCACGUCGGGCUCUCUGCUCAGUGGGGAGUCUGCUUAUCCCUCCCCUGAUGCUUGUGCUCUCUCUCUCUCAAGUAAAUAAAUAAAUAAAUCUUAAAAAGAAAAAGAAAAAGAACGGCUUUGAAAAUUGUUACUGAAUAUUGUUAACUAUAUACUGAAGCAAAGGGGUUGUUUGUAUACUAUAACUCUUAUAACAGGAAGAAAGUGCAGUAGGCGGUUAAGGAACCUGCAUUUGUGAUUAUUUCAACAUGGUUAAGGGCACUCAGUGUCCUGUGUUCUAUAGGAUGCCACAGAAGGGGGACCCAGGAGGAUGACAUGGGUCAAUCUUUGUUUCUCUUCCUGCACCAAGCUUAUGGGGUUGAUUUUGCCUUCAAUGCAUAGGACUAGUUGUUCUUGAUUUCAUCCCGACGAUCCGAAGAAUUUUUAUGUAUUUUUUCUAUACAUUCAAGCACUAAAAACCCCCAAUAUUAAACAGCUACAGACUUUGCCACCUAGAUGUUUAGAGUUCAAAGCAAAUAACAGUAUGACAGACCAGAGGCAACUUAGCCAUCUAUCAAACAAAUUCAUAGCCUGAUGAGACAGCAGAUUAAAAGCUUAACUGGGGUAGUUUGAGCUUUUUGAAGUAAGUGCCACUGUGUUUUCCACCAGAAUUUAGUUUCUUCUAUUGUUUUCUGAUAUUAUAAAAGCAAUGUAUACUUGUUACAGAGAAAAAUUAGAGAUUAGAGUAUAUAAAGAGCAAAACCAAAAACAUUCAUUCCCAGCCUGAAUUUUCCCUUUCAUUACCAAUCAGCCAUUGGGAUCCCAUUGGUAUAUAUCCUUGUAGGUACAUAAAAUUGCACCCUGUUCUACAUACCCAGACCUACUUAUUUAGUAUCAUUUUUAAAAAAGAUUUUAUUUAUUUGACAGAGAGUGAGAGAGCACAGCAAGGGGAGUGGCAGACAGAGGGAGAAGCAGACUUCAGUGCUGAGCAGGGAGCCCGAUGCUGGGCUCGAUCCCAGGACUCCGGGAUCAUGACCUGAGCCGAAGGCAGAUGAUUAACCGAUGGAGCCACGCAGGCAUCCUUAGUUAGUAUAAUUUUUAUGGUUUCAAAAUAUUUCAUUUUCUGGACUUACUAAUGUACCCUUAAACAAUGCACAUUUAUUAAACAUUCGGGUCAUUUCUAACUUUUCUCUCUGUCAAGCUAUUGCUCUAAAAUAUGUAUAGUGAGACAACUUAAUUCAUAUAAUCAUCUCAAGAGGUUUAUGUACGUGACUAAGAAACUAUUGUUUGUCGGGGCGCCUGGGUGGCACAGCGGUUAAGCGUCUGCCUUCGGCUCAGGGCGUGAUCCCAGCGUUAUGGGAUCGAGC
Molecule: long non-coding RNA, 3280 nt
Filed under: Ailuropoda melanoleuca (giant panda)
Lineage: Eukaryota; Metazoa; Chordata; Mammalia; Carnivora; Ursidae
Description: lncRNA (ENSAMEG00000025404.1)
Source: RNAcentral